This 109-nucleotide small nuclear RNA is filed under the name Salvator merianae (Argentine black and white tegu). Lineage: Eukaryota; Metazoa; Chordata; Lepidosauria; Squamata; Teiidae. The record is from RNAcentral.
GUGUUCGCUUCAGCAGCACAUAUACUAAAAUUGGAACAAUGCAGAGAAGAUUAGCAUGGACCCUGCAAAUAAAAAAAAAGCCCAAUUUAAAGUGGGGGUGUUAACCUAU